CAAUCCUGAUUUUAAAUGGAAUUCUCAUGUGUUUGUAGCACGGAUUUGUGUACCGUGAGCACGGAAGCACCCCCGGAUACUACGAUGGCCGUUACUGGACAAUGUGGAAGCUUCCCUUGUUCGGAUGCACUGACUCUGCUCAAGUGUUGAAGGAAGUUCAAGAAUGCAAAACUGAGUACCCUAAUGCCUUCAUCAGGAUCAUUGGAUUCGACAACAACCGUCAAGUCCAGUGCAUCAGUUUCAUCGCUUACAAGCCACCAAGCUUCACCGGUGCUUAAUUCGCUUUCAUAUAAUAAUAUCUUCUCAUUUCAUUUCCAAUAAGUCUGUUUCUUUUUUUUCUCUUUGGAUUUCUGUUUACGAGACUUUCUAUAUCGGAUUGUAAAAUGUCUGAUUUUAUGAACAUGUAAUUUCUAUAUUGCUUCUUCUUCGUGGUUACUACUUUCAGAUGGCUAUUAGGUUUUCAAUUUAUUGGGAUAAGAAAACAGUCAGAAUAAUAACUUUACAAAACUGGUUAGAUAAGAUAAUGGUAAUAUUUUUGGAAUAGGAAAACAUUACUACCUAGGAAAAAAAAAAUUCAUAUGGAGUUAAUUAGUUCAUUAGAGAUUCCAAUAACAAAUCAUUGCAUCAUUUUAUCGUCACGUUCCAUAGAUUUCAAGCAUAUAGUAUAUACAUGACAUCGGUGCAUUAUCAUUGGAAAUAAGAUACAUAUAGAUAUGGAUCUCUAUUCUUAUAUUUGUUAUAAUUGUUUUUUUUUUGGUAAAAUGUUAAGCUUACCAUUUUCUGAAAGAAGGAUACACUGUUGUUGUUAAACAACUUAUUACAAGAGAAAAACAGAGAAGCAGAAAAGAAAGACAAAGGAAACAGACUACACAACAACAAUCAAAAUAAGAGAAAACGACACUAAGGUGGAAAGAGACGUCUGAUGGAAAGGUAGAGCAGGAGGAGCGUGUCGUGGCCAUCAGCUGGAGGGGCUAAGGACAAGAGACGAUCCCUCAUAGAACGAUCAACAUACUUGGCGAUCGCCGCUGCGGUAGAGGAAACAUUCUUAAAGAUACGGACGUUCCUCUCUCUCCACAGGCUGUAGACUCCCUGAGCCUGGAGGAUCUUAAUGACAAAGUCCCAGCAGAUUGUAUCAAAAGCUUUGCGGAUGUCUAUUUUUAGCAUGCUGCUCCUGCUGCAAUUUUGGUUCUCAUACUUGCGGAUCAGCUCAGCUGCAAGAAGGACGUUUUCACCCAAGCUGCGCCCUUUAAGAAAAGCCGACUGAGCACGACUUAUCGAACUCUUGAGAAUCGGCUUGAGCCUGUUGGCGAUUAUCUUGGUGAUGAUCUUAUACACAAUGUUGCAGCAGCUUAUCGGCCGGUAGUCCCGAAGGCUACAAGCAGUAGUGGUCUUAGGAAUGAGAACAAUAGCUGUGGUGUUUAGGUCUUUCAGCAAUCGGCCAUUACGAAAAAACUCAGAAACCGCAGCAAUCACAUCCCCUCCAACAGUAUCCCACGAUGCUUUAAGGAACUCAAAAGAAUAGCCAUCGGGACCUGGGCUUUUGUUUAGGGGCAUGGAGAAGAUAGUACCUUUGAUCUCAGUUUCCAGGACAUCUCUCUUCAGGUAAGCUUUCUGUAGGUCCGAGCAUCUGAAGGAGAGCAAAUCUUCCAAAGCAUUUAGAGGAACUGGUGAGACAGGAAGCUCUGUGUGGCCAAGGAUAUCCUGGAAAUAAGAGACUGAGUGCGCCUUUAUAUCAUCGAUGGACCCCAGGAACUGGCCAGACUCAUCUAUCAGAUAAUGGAUGUGGUUGCUAUUAUUCCUUUGUGCUACUGUUUUAUGAAAGAAAGGUGUAUUCCUGUCUCCCACAUCAGCCCAGCGAACACGCGACCUCUGCCUGAAGAACUUUUGCUCAGCAUUGAGUAAGGUGUUAAGGAUAUCACGCUGACGGUGCUCCUCAGAGGCAGUAGCUGGGUCCGGGCAGGUGAGAAGACUUUGCUGCAGGUUCGCUACCCUCACAGACUGCUGCUUUACCCUUCCUGUGAUGCCACUAAAGUGCGUUUUAUUUAAGUUCCUCAGAUCUGUCUUAAGAAGCUUCAUUCGUCGGACCAAUUUAAACUGCUCAGAUCCUUGAACUUCAGCAUUUGACCACGCGUCUGAGACAACAGAAGAGUAGUCAGGAUGGCCAGUAAGAUGGUGAUAAAAUUUGAAAGGCUUGCGGAUACGUCUACUGAUUGAGGGAACCCUGAGAAGGCAAGGCGCAUGAUCAGACUGAUCUGGCUGAAGAAAGUCUGCGUAUGAAUCCGGAAAUGAAGCGGCCCACGAGUGGUUGAUAAGAGCAUGGUCAAUUCUUUUGGAGACAGGGUUGGAGCCACUGUUAUUCCACCAAGUGAAAGGGAGGCCUUUCGCUUGACAUUCGAAGAGCUCAGAGUCCUGCAAAGCUGCAACCAUAUCAUCAAUACCUGAUGGAUCAAUAACUGAGAGAGGGUAAUCAGAGUGCUGGCUUAGACGAAAGAUUUGGUUGAAGUCUCCCAGCACCGACCAAGGAGAGUUAACAACCGGAGUGGAAUCAUGUAUGUAGACCAUCUCUUCCCAUAAGUUUUUACGCUCGAGUACAGUGUUGAACCCAUAAACAAAAGAGACCGUGAAGUUCACAUUUUCCGCCAUAAGAUAAAUCCCACAAGUAACAACCUGAGCAGAAGACUUGUAGAUGAAGACUCGAACAGACGGGUCCCAAACAACAAUUAUUCGACCCGAGAGAUGAUGAUCAUAGUUGCCGAAAAAGCUCCAUCCUAUAGGGAGAGCAUUAUUAAUCCGUUGUGAAUUUCUUUCCUGAAUAUGUGUUUCCAAAAAAGCUCCAAGGAGCGGCCUCUGGAUAUUAAUCCAGUUUCUAACCAUGGUGUGGCGUCUGGGAUCGUUAAGCCCUCUCACAUUCCAUGCAAAAAAUUUCGACAUUUAUAAUUAUAUAGAUUUUGCGACCCUGCGGCCACAGCUCUGGCGGUUAACCAGCAAAAACGGGGCUUCAUGCUCAUCUGAGCCGUCUGCCUCAGCACUAGGGACCCCCGAGGAUGGACCUGACUCAUACGAAGAAGUAAUCAAGUCGUGCGCAGGUGGGAAUUUCUGAAUAGAGAUAUCCGGUGGGACAGUCUUAUCAGAUGAUUCAGGAAUGCCAUUCUCCCUAACCGGAGUUGUUACAGUGGUGUCCUCUGUAUGCUCCUCAGGAGGUAUUUCACCAUCUUCCAAACCCUGAGAGGAUGUGACACCCUUCUUCGCAUCACCAUCUACCGAUCGCUCCUUGUUGUGAGUACCAGCUUUACCUCCUCUCCUACGACGUCCUUGCCUAGACUGUUUCCUCCCCUUAUCCUCCUCAUUCGUUGGACUAGGAGAACGUCUUCUGCCUUCCUUGUUACUACGAGGCAGGGCACGACACUUGGUGUUGAGAUGACCAUAUUUACCACAAGCAUUACACUUUAGUGGGAGCCAAGGGUAAGAAAUAGUUAUCUCAUUUUCUUUCCCAUUUGAAAACCCAGAGAUCAUCUUUGAGGGGAGCUCCCGUGUGAGAUCCACACGCACAAAUAACUUUGCAACCUGAAAGUUUUCCUUCCGCUCUGUUUCCGGAGCCAAAGACACAGGUUUGCCUACUGCUGUGGCCAGCCGACUCAAACUCUCCUUGUUGAACAGCAAGUAAGGGACUCCCCUUAGCUCUACUGGAACCACCGCACUUGUAAUCGGAGCUUCCUCCGGAGUAAAAUCAUGCGACCAUGGAGCAACAAACAUCGGGAAUCCCGCAAUGUUCCAACAAGUCCUGGAGAGGAGGUGCUCCCUUGUCUUAGCAGACGUGACUUUUAAUAGAUACUCCCCAGCGCCCACCAUGUGGACAAAGAUUCGCGGCCCUGUCUUAGCCCAUACGGCAUUAACAACACCGAUUAUACGACCCAUGGAAGGCCAGUCCCCGUGGAAUCUAGCGAAGAUGUAAUCACGAAACUCCUCCUUAGCUGAUUCUAUAUUUUCAUCCGGGAUAAGAACGAAAGGUACUCCCGAUACGUGUUCAGAGGGUGUUCCUAGCUCUUCCAAAGUCGCAAAGUCCUUGACUAAACUGGCGUAGCUCUUAGUUCCAGAGUACUCCCCUAGGGUAGCAGCCUUCUGCAGGGCUCCAUGAGGGAUGUCUCUACUAACCACUUCCUGGAUUGGAAGGGAAACCUCUAUUGUAGCGUCAGGAGUUACCUCCUCCGAUACUGUAGGGGUAACGUCAAGCUCACAUGGCGUGAGAGGUGAUGAAUUGCCAAACUCAAGAACAGGAGCUAGCGGUAGUGGUAGGUGACCCAAACUCAGAUCUACAGAGACCUCAGGGGUCGACGGCGAAACCUCAGUCGUGGGUGCCACCGAAGCAGCAAUUACAGCAUCAGCGCUUGAAGCGCCGGCGAGAGACGACUGUUGUAACGACCGGACCGAAGUGGAGGGUUUCAACGCUCCUUGGAGACGGGCCAUCUUCGAAGAGCCCCGGAGGAGAUUACGAGUUUUUUUCUUCUUUUUCGGAGGCAUAUGGAUGUUAUAAUUGUUUUGAAAAGUUAACGAAACUUUCCACUUAUCAAAGUGAUUUUCUAGAAAAAACGUAUGCAUGUAAAUCUCUCACUCACACGGAUAGUUAAUCCCUGAAGAGAGGAUGACAGUUGACACACUUGAAUUCUAUGAUAGACGCGUUUGUGGACGCACCAUACCUAAGAUAAGCAUGAUGAUAAGAUUGGAGAUUUCCUUAUAUAUUCUCUAAAAAAUUCAAAUCAUUUUCGAAAUAAGACAGUUAUGGCAGGCAGUGGAGUUAAAACAAUUCUGUUAAAUUGGUGAAUUCUGUUGAUUUACCAAUUUUAACAGAAUUUUGUCAUAUUUAAUUUAUAUAGUAAUUCUAUUUUAAGAUAAUAUAAUCUACAAUUAUAAUUUAUCAAAUAGCAUAGAUUUUUAUAUUAAAAAUUAAUUAAUAUUAAUUUAUAAUAAUAUUAUAUUACUAAUUACAGAAUUAAUUAAUGCACUAUUUUCUAAAAAAUAUUUUUGAAAUUUCAGUAGGAUUUUAUUAGAUUUUUUCUCAACAUAUUUUGUCAUAACUAAAAACAAAAUUCAAAUUUAUAGUUAAAAUUAAUUUAUUAUUUAUAUUCUUAUUUAUAAUUAAUACUUUCUAUGAAUAUUAUUUAUUUCUCUAACAAAAAUAUAUUAAUAUUUGAUUGAUUAAUGUAAAUAAUUAAUUAAAUGAUUCUAGUAUGACUUGUCAACACUAGAAUUUAAAUAUAUUGACUAAAUUUUAUAUAUACCAUUUUUGAGUUGUUCUUAUUCGAUUAUUUAGUGUAUUAAAAUAGAUAUAAUAAAUAUGAAUAGAUUUUACGUGCAAAAUGAUAAAAUAACAUCAAUAUAUUUAGAAAAAAUAAGAAAAAUUACAUAUAAACUUCUUUGGGAAUAAAAAACUAUACAAUAUCAUUUUUGUUUUUCUUAGGACCAUAUAUUUAUAUAAAGUUUCUUAAAAAAUAUUUUCUUAUUAUCUUACUGAAUUGUGUUAUAUUUUACAUUGAUGUAACUCAAAACUGGUAAAAUUUAUUAACUUAUCUAGUAUUAUGUUUCAGAAAGAUGUAUAUUUUAAUAUUUUCACACUUGUUAAGAAAACAUAUCAGAUUUAAAUUACCAAUAUAUUAAUUUCUGUAAUUAAUUAUUCCCCACAACUUGUAACCAAUAAAACUUUAGUAAACACAAUUUUGUUUUUUGAAGUUUACAAUUUACAAUUUACAAUUUACAAUUAAUUUACGCAUUGAAAAUAUAAAAAAAUGUACUAACUGAAAUAUUUUUUUAAAAAAUAUUUAUCUUUUUGAGAUGGAGGGAAUAUUAAUUUAUAGAGUUUUAAAAAUGUACUAAAGAAAUCGUCGGUUAGUUUAUAUAAUCUGCGUUUUUCUUUUAUUAGGGCUAAACCCAGCCCAAACAAAGGAGGAAUGUCUAGCAAGUAUCCAAACAUGGGUUCGGGCCUCUGGGUUAAUGUUUGCUGGAUCUGGAUUCGGAUAUCCUAUAUAUCCCUAGUGAUAAUAAUUAAUAAGAGCCGCGGCUCUGAACAAAAUAUAAAACAAGGGCGGCCUUCUGCUUUUAGUUAACAAAGAAAAAACUCCGUAGAGAGAGAGAGAGAGAGAAUAGCGGUGCUGGAUCUAAGCGAUGUCGGAUCCUUACGAGAGGGCGAAGGGUGGAAGGUUAGCGUUUAAAGGAGGCGAUCUAGCCACCAUCAAAAAGAAGAAGAAGCAAUCGAAGAAGAAGAAGAAGGACAAGGAAAAGCUCGACGACGGCGCCGAUGUUGAGAAGAUGGACGCUCCAGCCACUUCCUCUGCUGCAGAUGGCAAAGACGAUAUCUACUCUAUCGACGCCGCGAAGAAGAGGAAGUACGACGAGCUUUUCCCCGUGGAGGCAAAGAAGUUCGGUUACGUUCCCAAAUCGAACUUCGAUUCGGUGGCGGAGGCUCUCGACGAUCGAGUCAAGAAGAAGGCCGACCGCUACUGUAAAUAGAAUCUUUUGCAUCUCCCUUUGUUUAAUUCCCUACUCUAUGCAUAAUUGUUAUCAUGUUUGAAGACUUUAUCCCUAUUUUGCUUCUGUUUGAGACUGGUUUAUUUGGAAUCCAAAUUAGUGGUAUUUGGUAUUCAUCCUUUGGGACAACUAGGUUUUGUGAAAUCUCUAGGUUUAGCAAGUAAAUAUUAAAGUGCUUUACAAACAACUCAUAUAUGUUUUAGUGUUAUGGUUCAAAUUUUUUGAAUCCAAUUUGUAAAUGGUUUUGCUUUUCGUUUCUUGGUAUUUUGUUUUCUUACAAGUCCUCAAUUGCUCAAUGCAUUUGCUUCCCUCUGCUAAAGGAUAUUACAGUGAGGCCACUGCAACGGAACUGCAGGAAGAAUCAGAGAGAUAAAUUCAGUUUAGUUAAGUUUAUAUUGUCUUUCUCCUUUAAGGUGAAAGGUCAGCCUGAGUUUAUAAUUAUUUUUCACACUACAUAUGUUCUUAGCAAAUGAUAGACACUUUAUUAUUUCUUGUGUUUCCCCUCAAAUAAUCAGUUUUUUAGCUCCUGUUACCUCGAGUAUUCCUCUGUCCUGCUUCUUCUGGUUCUGGACUAACCCUCUGAUACCUUGCUCUAGAAAGCCCCAUGUUCCAGAACUGCAUCCACCUAGGGCGCCUCCUCUCGGGAACGUCUUCUCUAAUAGGAUCACCCCUUUCCUGAGAAUCCGUAACGGUGGUGUUGACCGGAGGCAGAUCACGGCGGCAAAUUGGGCAUGAAUUGUGAAGCCUUAGCCAUGGAGUUAUACAGUUUUUAUGGUAAAUAUGUUUACAUGGUAGUUCGGUAGCUUCCCCUCCAGCAACGAAGUCCUCCAUGCACACCGUGCAUUGCGACAUGUCGUUGGUUAGAUGUUUCGAUGUAAUCGUUACGGUCGGUAGCGCGUCAAUGGUGGGUUCUGAUGCAGGUGGUGGUCCAGGCCUAUCGUCUUGUGUUAGCUGUUCGAUCAGCUGUUCUAAACCUGAUCCUCCAGUAAAGAAGUCAUGUGGGUUCAUACGCCUGGGAGGUAUUGGAUCAGUGGGCCGUAGUAUUACAUAUGUUCUUCUUGGUGGAGGUAAACUGCCAUUGUUACCAUUGUCAAGGCUGUGGCGUCGUCGAUGGUGCGGUAGGGGUGUUGUUGGCUCGUGUUCCACGUUUCUGGACCUUGCCCUGAGAAAUGGGUCUUCACCGAAUCUACCUAUUGUUGGAGGAUCAAACAUGAGGGACAGAGCUUCGAGAAGGCGUGUCUCAGGAGAAGCAUCAAACGGUGGAGCGGCGUGAGUGAAAGUCACCCGAGGCCGUCUCAUCUCGAUUUCCACAACAAAUUGCCUUAAGCAUCGAGGGCACGCGAUCUCUGAUGGGUUUGAUGAUGCAAUCCUGACCGUACGAUGACAGUGGUAGCACCAGUAGAGGCCAAAAGUCCUGAAUGCGCCAUUGGGUGCACCAUCGGUCCGUCUUAUUGGCACACUCAAUGACAUGAUUCGAAGAAGUAACUGUUAUACACCAGACAUAAAUACUUGCACAUUUAUAGAUAAUCUUUGAAGGUUGAAUGAAGCAAUUAAGCCAGGCAUAUUCCGUUCAUACAGAGGUCGUGUUUUGUCUGGAAGGCAAAGAAUGAGAAGGAUGAAGACGCAAUGCUCAUUUCUUCUGGUUUUUCUUAUUCUAUUUAGAUUGCCUCAAGUUAAAGGCUAGAAUCAUUUAUUAGAUCAAGUCAAUUAAAGAGAUUGGCCGUAUUGUUUAACUAGAGUAGAUAUAGAGGAAAAGAAACAAUCAUCAAGUUUAACAUAAAAUAUUAUUCUUUAGAGCAUCUCCGAAAAAACUUUAUAGCUUCAAAUACAGAGCUUGUUUCUAUCCAAAAACAAAUUUUAAAACUUUAAAUUUAGAUUUUUGAUUAGUGAAACUUCGUAUUUUUUUAGAUGCUCCAAGUUUAGAAUUUUAAAACUCUAUAAUAUUUUAAUAAUAGUUUUGUGACAAAAAAAUGAGUAGAAGUUUCACUACUCAAAACUCUAAAUUUGAAAUUUCAUCUUUUUAUUUGCAUUUUGGUCUUUAUAAUUAACUAGGGUCGGUCCGCCCUACGGGCGGGAAGUUAUAAUAAAGCAUACCCUUCUCAGGUAUACAUUAAAAACCCGACGCAACAUCAAGCUUUACCGGUCCACUGCUUUGAAGUUAGGUGCGAAGUGUGAAGAUGGCUCGUGUCCCUGGAGGGUGUAUUGUUCUUAUGAGAAGAGCAAACAGAAGCUGAUGAUCAAAUGUUAUGUGAAUGAGCACAAGUGUGAGAUAACAGGACACUCAAAGUUUUUGAAGUGUUCUACUAUAGCAAUGCUGUUCGCUGAGAGGCUGAGGUUGAAUCCCAAAAUCACCAAGCAUGAAAUUGCUUCUGAGAUCCAGAGAGAGUAUAGGAUGUUUGUGAGUGUGGAAGCUUGUGGGAAUGCGAAGACAAAGGUUAUGAAAGAAAGAAAAGCAAGCCACGAAGAACACUUCAACAAGAUAUGGGAUUAUCAAGCUGAGAUUUUUCGAACCAACCCUGGCACUACAAUGGAUAUCGAAACCAUCCCUGGACCGACAGUAGGAAGUAAACAGAGGUUUUUCCGGCUAUAUGUUUGCUUUCAUGCGCAGAAGGAGACUUGGAAGACUUCUUGUAGACCGAUAAUGGGUUUAGAUGGAGCAUUUCUAAAGUGGGACAUAAAGGGUCAUCUCUUGGCUGCUGUAGGACGUGAUGGAGACAAUCGGAUUGUUCCGAUUGCAUGGGCAGUAGUAGAAGUGGAGAAUGACACGAAUUGGGACUGGUUUGUGAGACACCUCGCAAAUGACUUGGGCUUAAAGGAUGGCAAAGGCUAUGCUAUAUUGUCUGACAAACAAAAGGUAAACGUCUGAUCUUGAUUUUUUAAAGCUUUUAGUGCUUAAAGCAUUACUGUAUCUUAGUGUUUUUAACUGUCUCAUGCUUGUAAUUGGCAGGGUUUAGUGAAAGCAGUCCACACCAUUCUUCCAGAGGUUGAGCAUAGACAGUGUUGUAGACACAUUUUCGAUAAUUGGAAGAAGAGCAGCCAUGACAUGCAGCUACAAAGACUCUUCUGGCGAAUAGCAAGGAGUUAUACAAUUGGAGAUUAUAAAAUGUGGAGUGAGAGGCUGAAAGAGUACAAUCCAGGCGCCUAUGCUACUCUUCAAGUCACCAAACCAGAAACUUGGUCCAGAGCAUAUUUCAAAUUAGGGACCUUGUGCAACGAUAAUCUCAAUAACCUAAGUGAGUCCUUCAACAGAACCAUCCGUGAAGCAAGAAGGAAGCCAUUAUUGGAGAUGUUAGAGGAUAUAAGGAGACAGUGUAUGGUUCGAAACUUCAGAAGGGCUGUAAUGGCUAAAAAUGCUAAGACAAAGUUCACAAAAAGGACGCAUCUUCAGAUGGCUAAAGUGGAGUCAAAGUCUAAGGAUUGUAUGAGCUUUCCAGCAGUUGGUCCAGUCACAGAGGUUGAUUAUGGUGGUGUGGCUUAUGCUGUGGAUAUGGAUGAGCUAAGUUGUGGGUGUAUCCAGUGGCAAAUGACUGGAAUUCCUUGCAUUCAUGCCGCCUAUGUGAUCCUUAAAGAUGGUAAAAAACUUUCUGACUUUGUAUCUCCUUGUUAUACCAUAGCUAUGUGGCGUCAAACCUAUAGUAUGGGGGUAAGGCCUGUUCAAGGGAAGAAGCUAUGGCCUGAGACUGGUAGAUUAGGUGUCCUCCCACCACCUUGGAGAAAAGGAAACCCGGGAAGACCAAAGAACCAUGAUAGGUUCAAGAGCAAGGGUGAGACAGAGAAGGGCCCGAAAGUCUCUACAACUGAUAGCACGAAACUAACUCGUGCUGAUCGAGUUAUUACAUGUUCUAAUUGCAAGCAAGAGCAUCAUAACAAGAAGACAUGUAAGAAUGACUUUGUUGAAAGUCAGCCCAAGAAACCACGAGGUCGCCCUAGGAAAAAUCAGGCAAGUUUCAAGAUGUUUUUGGUUUGUUUCUGAUCUUCUUAUGCUCACUUGAUUUUUUUUUUCAUUGUCAGUCUAAUGCAUCAUCGUCACAACCAAGCCAGGGACAGUCUCAUGCUUCAUCAUCACAACCAACCCAGCCACAAGUGUCAACACAGCCACAAGCCACACAUGCACCACUAAACUCAGAUGCGUCGGUAUGGGGUCGAUGGUUUUCGUGAUUUCGAAGUUAGAAGGGGCAGAAGCAGAAGAUAGUAUUUUCGGAUUUAGUGUUUUGAAGUUUUAGUGUUUUGACACUCAUGUUUCAGUUUUAGUGCUUUAACACUCAGGUUUCAGGUUUCUGUCUUGUGUAUCAGUAUUUUCGGAUCUAUUUUGUAGUGCUUUGACACUUAACUUAUGCUAUGUUUCAUCAAGCUUUAUUUAAGAUUGGUUUGUAUCUCAACCAACAACAACAACUUAGUUCAUUACUUCAAACAACAACAUAGUCAAUGAAACCAACAUAAUAGUCACUGAAUUAAGCCCCAAACAUAGUCAAGACCAAACAUUAAAAUUGUCACUUAAUCAAGUAAAUACAACAAGACACAAACACCAACAAUUUAGUUCUUCACCUCAAGCAAAUAACUAACUUAAUUCUACAUCAAACUAACUAGUAGGACAAUGAUGAUCACGCACAUGAUCACAAACAAGAUCGUCAUCAUCACCUUACACCUCUUCACCUCUGUUUUGGCUCUUACAACUUCUUCCAUCAACUCAGUGACCACGCCUUUCAAAUCUUCAAUAUCAGAUUUUUCUUUGUUAAGCUCAGCUUCAAGCAGUACAAUCUUUGGUAAGGCAUCUUGAACCUCUUCAUAAACAGCCUCCUCAACCCAUUUAAACAAGUGGUUCUAUGCAAAAACCAUAAGAUUUUAGGCAUAUUCCUUUAUAUUCAAUUUGAAUAAACGACAACAAUAUAAUCAAGAAGAUAAGAAGCUACCUUUCUUCUCGUAAGACAUCUGAAGAAAGGUCUCCCCGGAUUCUUGUUAGUCUCAGACGUGUAGAUUGUUGUCUUAGUCCCGCAAACACAGCUCGCCGGAAACCCGCGAAUACCGUAUGUGUUCACGGUUGAACUCUCAGCUGUCGAAUCCGAACUCAUCUUCGUGCUAAGGGAAGUCAAUCGUGUGAGAUUGGAGGAUUUUGAGUUGUAAUCGCAAUUUUUAGGGUUGGUGUGUCAAGAAAAUCCCCAAAUUGAUUUGGGGGAAAAUGAUAUUAGGGUUUCGGAUCUUAUUUUGAAGUUUAAGAUAAAAUGUUGUCGUAUUGACUAACUGUGCAAAUUAACAGGGUUAACAUGUUCCGUUAGUCUAAUUAACGUCGGGUCUAAUUUGAUCCAUUCAAAGAAAAGUUAGCUGGGUUUUUAAAGUCAAAAGAAAAAUUUAUUGUUUUUCAGGUCUUUCCAAAAGCUGGGGAUUAUAAUGGUCCAAAUGAAUCUUCCUAAACCUUUGUGAUCAGGUUCCGAUGUUUUGAAGAGCUGAUACUGCUCUCUCCAAGACUGGGAAAAGUUGUGAUCCAGGAAGCACAUUCGCUCGCUCCUGAAAGCUUGUGGGUUCUCCUGAUACCUCUGCCUUAGCACAUUAAUCCAAGCAUCUAUAUGCUGCAUAUUAAAUAUAACAAGUUAGAAGUUACAAGACGACUUAUCUUUAAGUAGACGACUUAAAUCGUGUGCAGAAGACUGACGCAGUCUUCCAGCCAUCCUCUGGCUGUCCGGAGGAAGUGGUACCACCUUGUUGGUGAUGUACGUGGUUUGUCCUUGGUGUUAGUUAAAUAAUGACUGCAAACAAAAAAGCAAUCAGUUUUGGACGACUAAAUCAAGCUAUUAUGGGUAAAGCAAUCACUUACGGAUCAGUUUUCAACCAAUCAGCGAGUUCCUUCAACUUAUCUCUGUUUACUGGCGGAAAUGGAUUAUAGGCUGCCACUUUAUCUUUUUUUUUCUCUGCCGUAUAAGGAGAUCUCACAGUGGGAGCAGGUUUCUUCGCUCGUUUACUCUUUGCACGCUUGUCCAAUACAACCAGGCUCGGUUCUGAAACUGGAUCGCUUGGCUCGGUGGAAGCGAGGCUCGGUUGUUGAUCGGUGGAAGCGAGGCUCGGUUGGUGAUCGGUGGAAGUGACAGCAACAAUCUCUUUGGAGGUGACACCAUCUGCUUUAUCCUCCGGCAAGAUCUUAUUUACCGAGUUCGCCUCGGUUGCUGUAUCCUCCGGCAACCAUCUCUGCAAUAAAAGUUGCACACAAGUUAACCCUGGACGACUUAAAUAAAAGUUGUCUGGACGACUAGUUGACCCUGGACGACUUAAAUAAAAAUCGUCUGGACGACUAGUUGACCCUGGACGACUUAAAAUUAAGUCUUCCGUGGUCAACUAGUCGUCCAGACAACUUACGUUUAAGUCGUCCAGGGUCAACUAGUCGUCCAGACAACUUUUACAGUCGUCUGGACAACUAGUUAACCCUGGAUUUGAUACUAACCUCUUUGAUUUGAGGAGGCUGUUUCUUUUGAGGAGGAGGCUGUUUCUUUUGAGGAGGAGGAGGAGGCUGUUUCUUUUGAGGAGGAGGAGGCUGCUGUUUGGUUUGAUGAGGAGGAGGCUGGUUACUAACCACGGUUUCAUUGGCAUGAGGGGUAGCCUGUUUGUUUCUACCCCCGGUUUCUUUGGCAAGAGGGGUAGGCUGUUUAUCUUGAGGGGUAGCCUGAUUGGUUAGAGGUGGAGGGGUAGCCUGAUUGGUGACACCAACCUUCUUCUCCACAGCUUCCAAUCUAUCGGACAACUUCCUAAACUCCCUCAUGCACUUAUUAAACCCUUUUUUCAUGCAGUCAGCUACGCCCUUGAACAUAAUUUCCAACUCCUCUCUGGUCACCCCUCUAGCCUCUUCUCUAGCCUCUUCACUAGCCUCUUCAGGAGCCUCUUUACGAGCUUUCUUCCGAGGUCUUGGAUUGUCUUCCUCCUCCUCCUCCUCCUCCUCCAACACAACCAUCUCUUUGGCCUUCUUCGAUGGAGUCACAACCUUAGGUUUUGUAUUGACCUUAGUACCAGUGACUUCCCAGCAAUCCAUGGUCCACUUCCACGGUCUCCGCUCAUACAUGACUUUAAUGAUGUUCUCCGCGGGCAGGUCCUCAACCUCAGAGUCCCAUUUUGGCCACAUUUCACUAAUGUCCUUCUCAACAAAGUUGAUCACGCGGGUCUGCAGUAAAUAGAAGAAUCGAGUUAGAUAUUUGAAAAAAAAUACUAAAUAGACGACUUAAUUAUAAGUCGUCUACUAAGUCGUCCAGCUGGAAGACCUUCCAGACGACUUAUAAUAAGUCGUCUAAUAAGUCGUCCAGAUGGAAGACUUUCCAGACGACUUAAUUAAGUCGUCCGAUAAGUCGUCCAGCUGGGAAGACUUUCCAGACGCCUUAUUAUAAGUCGUCUAAUAAGUCGUCCAGAUGGAAGACCUUCCAGACGACUUAUAAUAAGUCGUCUAAUAAGUCGUCCAGAUGGAAGACUUUCCAGACGACUUAAUUAAGUCGUCCGAUAAGUCGUCCAGCUGGGAAGACUUUCCAGACGCCUUAUUAUAAGUCGUCUAAUAAGUCGUCCAGAUGGAAGACUUUCCAGACGACUUAAUUAAGUCGUCCGAUAAGUCGUCCAGCUGGGAAGACUUUCCAGACGCCUUAUUAUAAGUCGUCUAAUAAGUCGUCCAGAUGGAAGACUUUCCAGACGACUUAAUUAAGUCGUCCGAUAAGUCGUCCAGCUGGGAAGACUUUCCAGACGCCUUAUUAUAAGUCGUCUAAUAAGUCGUCCAGAUGGAAGACUUUCCAGACGACUUAUAAUAAGUCGUCUAAUAAGUCGUCCAGAUGGAAGACUUUCCAGACGACUUAAUUAAGUCGUCCGAUAAGUCGUCCAGCUGGGAAGACUUUCCAGACGCCUUAUUAUAAGUCGUCUAAUAAGUCGUCCAGAUGGAAGACCUUCCAGACGACUUAUAAUAAGUCGUCUAAUAAGUCGUCCAGAUGGAAGACUUUCCAGACGACUUAAUUAAGUCGUCCGAUAAGUCGUCCAGCUGGGAAGACUUUCCAGACGCCUUAUUAUAAGUCGUCUAAUAAGUCGUCCAGAUGGAAGACCUUCCAGACGACUUAUAAUAAGUCGUCUAAUAAGUCGUCCAGAUGGAAGACUUUCCAGACGACUUAAUUAAGUCGUCCGAUAAGUCGUCCAGCUGGGAAGACUUUCCAGACGCCUUAUUAUAAGUCGUCUAAUAAGUCGUCCAGAUGGAAGACCUUCCAGACGACUUAUAAUAAGUCGUCUAAUAAGUCGUCCAGAUGGAAGACUUUCCAGACGACUUAAUUAAGUCGUCCGAUAAGUCGUCCAGCUGGGAAGACUUUCCAGACGCCUUAUUAUAAGUCGUCUAAUAAGUCGUCCAGAUGGAAGACCUUCCAGACGACUUAUAAUAAGUCGUCUAAUAAGUCGUCCAGAUGGAAGACUUUCCAGACGACUUAAUUAAGUCGUCCGAUAAGUCGUCCAGCUGGGAAGACUUUCCAGACGCCUUAUUAUAAGUCGUCUAAUAAGUCGUCCAGAUGGAAGACCUUCCAGACGACUUAUAAUAAGUCGUCUAAUAAGUCGUCCAGAUGGAAGACUUUCCAGACGACUUAAUUAAGUCGUCCGAUAAGUCGUCCAGCUGGGAAGACUUUCCAGACGCCUUAUUAUAAGUCGUCUAAUAAGUCGUCCAGAUGGAAGACUUUCCAGACGACUUAAUUAAGUCGUCCGAUAAGUCGUCCAGCUGGGAAGACUUUCCAGACGACUUAUUAUAAGUCGUCCGAUAAGUCGUCAAGCUGGACGACCUUCCAGACGACUUAUAAUAAGUCGUCUGCGCAGUCUUUUGGAUUGAAGUAAAUACCUGACUCAAGAUAGCAGCUUUCAUUGAUCUGCGGCCUCUGCUGCCCUCGUAAGCCAGUAUCGGUGGAGACGGACUGUCUGCUCUGGGACCACCAAUACUAGCACCCAAUUCCGGCAUAGCUGUGUACGUCCAGACCUGAAGAACUUGUAUAAACCCAUCCACGGUGUAACAGCCAGCAAUUUCUUUGUUCCACAAAGAGUCCAUCAGCACCUUAAACGCGACUCUCCCCCAUGGAUAAUUCUCAAACCGUUCUAAAUCCAUCACUAGCCUUGCCAGAGUAGAUCGUGUAGCGGUUGAAAACUUUCUCCCUUCAAUGAAUCCAGUGAAGAUGGAGAGGUACGCGAGCCGCUUGCGAUCUUCCCUGGACCAAUCCCCGCAUCUCUUCAGUGCUGCUAUUAUCUGAUCAGUAGUUGGCCCAGCUUCCAGAUGAACUCCCAGCAUCCCCCAGAAAGAAACCAUCUCUGGGGUAACGUCACAUUUUGGUGUCUCAAGGUCCUCGAUGUACUCGCAGUUUAGACCAGUGAGGUUUUCAAACUCUAACAGUGAAAACCUCAAAGGUUCUGGACCAACGAGAGACCACAUCUCAUACUUCUUCUUAAUGUCCAGCUUGAAACUGAGCAUGUAGUGAACCAGCCUUGAAGCCCAACCAAAUCCCUGCUCCUUGAACUUGAUGAAAACUCCCAAACUCGACUCCUUGAGCUCUUCAAAUUCGUCAUCAGUAAGAGCUUUCCUAAGAGCAGUAUGCAACUUGCUGUUAUCCGUAUGAUACGAAAUGCUAUUGUGGGCUUCUGGCUCUUCCCCUGAUGUGUAUAACCUACGGGGGAGUUCUGGAAUAUCCAUCCUUUUUGUCUGCAAAAUAAUCAAAGACAACAAUAUAAGUCCAGACGACUUAGUAGACGACUUAUAAUUAAGUCGUCUGGAAAGUCUUCCAAAUGGACGACUUAUAUUUAAGUCAUCUACUAAGUCGUCCAGUUGGAAGACUUUCCAGACGACUUAAAUUACUUACAAGUCUUCCAGUCGCAGAAGGAGUUGGAGUACUCGUCAUUGCGGUUAUAGAUCUGAAAAAAUAAACGUGAAACGGUGAGAAUGAGUAAAUUGAUAGAGACAACGUUUUAUGUUCAUCUUUUCCUCGAGAUUGAUGACUUAGCGGCGUUAGGGUUUACAGAGAAACGGCGCUAAGGUUUACAGAGAAGAAGCGGCGGCGCUAGGGUUUAGAAGAAGCGGCGGCGCUAGUGUUUAGAGGAAGCGGCGGUGAGAACGUUGGUGACCACGGUGGCGAGGGCGACGGUUUGUUCGGAAAUAGUGGAAGCGGCGGCGCUAGGGUUUAGAGGAAUCGGCGGCGCUAGGGUUUAGAGGAAUCGGCGGCGCUAGGGUUAGAAGAAGCUGCGGCGACAACGGUGAGAAUGAAGUGAGAUAGAUAGCCGACGUUGAGAACGAUGGUUUGUUCGGAAAUCGUGGGAAUUCGAAAUCGCCUUUGAGAGAGAACUGUUAGGGUUUCUGAAUUUCGCGAAAAAUGAAACAAAAAAAAUAAAAAUCACCUUAUAUAUUGGGUAAAUAAUCCGGUUAGCUUUAAAAGUACAUUGGUAAACUUUAAGGUUUGGUCCGGUUUAGACGACUUAUUCUGGCUGAUAAUGUACAACAGACGACUUAAUAUUUAGUCGUCUGUUUUCAGACGACAAAAUAUUAAGUCGUCCUAGACCCUAAAAUGAACCCCUAAACUAAAAUGACUAGAUUAACUAACUAACCACGUUAUAAAAUCAAAUUAUACUUAAAUAGUGUUUACUAUACACAGAAAUGAACACGCAUAAGUAAUUUUAAAAAUUUUCAAAAACGGUUUUAAUGCUUUCCAAAAUCUAACCCUAAGAACACAUACAAUACUACAACAUAUGUUGAUGAAACAUAAACUAAAGAAUAUCAUGACUCACUACUUUCACUCAUCUAUGCUGAAAACAAUUGAAAUUUGUUAUAUCUUAAUUUAUACCUCCUAAGACAUAUGUUAAUUACAUAAUUCCCAUUUUUCACUUAUCAAAAUAUUUUUUACAAAAUUUUUAAAUUAUGUUUAAGACUAACUGUCCAGACGACUUUCAGUUAAGUCGUCUGGACGACUUAUUUUCAAGUCGUCUAAACAGACGACUUGCGAGGGGUAGAAACGUAAAAAAAAUUCCGUUUUCUUGUUUGGUCACAAGGGGAUAGUUGUAAUUUCAAUAGCCUUUUAGGUUACUUUUGCCUUUGACCCAAGUUGGGGUAUUGUUUUGGGUUUGACUCCAAGUUUUGCGUCACACUUGGCAAUUCUCCCUAAUAAAUAUCAUUAUAUUUUUAAUAUUUAUUUUAGUUUCAAAUGUUUAGUUUUGUAAUAUUCUUCAUUAAACUAACUGAUUAAAGGUUUUUUUUUGCAAAUAUGAUUCAAAUCUUCAAAUCAUUCCUCAAGUAAUUCAUGCUUUUUUAGAAUUUUCUUUGUGCUUUACAGGUGAUGUAACUGUAUAUUUCUUUGUGUGUGUGUUUUGUAAACUUUUGAUAAGAGAAGUAUAUAAUAAUGUUUAUAGUUUUUGAGAAUGUUAGGGUGUUAAGGAUUAUGUAUGUUAAGAUUAGUUAUAUUUGAGUUCGAUAGAUUACAACAUAUAACAUAUUAUAUUGAGUGAAUGAGGUGUACGUGGUGCUCUCCUUGUAUGGUUUUUGAUAAUUUUGAAUCCAAAAUUGGUUGGUUAAUUAUGGUUUACUAUAUUAAAUUUUUUUAAGAUAAGUUCGUGGUUCUCAUGAUUAUCAUUUGUAUGAAUGGAUUGGGAUCAACAUGAUUGCAUUGCGUUACAGUAUAUGUUAGGCUAGAAAUAAUAUUUAAGAAAUGAGUAAAAUAGUGAAAGUAUAAGUCUAAUUAUUUAUAUUCUAAAUUAACACUUAAAUAUAUAAAUAUAAAAUUCUGUUUCAAACAUUUUAAUUCGUUUAAGGUCGUUGCAUAGGUGUAAAGAAUAUAUAUCUUUGAUGCAUAUGUAAUUUACGUCUUUAUAUCUUUGAUGCAUAUGUAAUUUACAUCUUUGUUUACUAUUACGUAAUUAGUUUAGUUUUAUUUUUUAUUUUUCUAUUAGUUUCUUAAUUUUUAAUUGAAUAUUUUGUAGUUCUUUGUAAAUGAAUAAAAUUAUUUUAGUUUGUUUGUGCUGAGUUCAAGUGAUUUAAUUUAGAAAAAAAAAUCUUUAUAUUUUUUUUAUUUUUCGAUUAGUUUCUUAAUUUUAUAGUUUUAGUUGAAUAUUUUGUAGUUCUUUGUAAAUGAAUAAAAUUAUUCUAGUUUGUUUGUGCUAAGUUUAAGUGAUUUAAUUUAGUAACUUUUUUUCUUUAUAUAUAGAUAUAUAUAAAAGGAUGACAAAAAAAAACAUAGAUAUAUAUAAAAAUUACUUCAUUAUACAUUGUAUUAUAUUUAAAAUAUGUUUUUUGAAGAGUGUCAAUAUUUAUAAUAUUUUGUUUAAUUUAUUUAUAUAGAUGAAAAAAAAAUUUCUAUUGUAGCAUGAAAUUUAUGAUAUUGUAAAAUGGAAAAAAUGUUAAAUAAAUCCUCAGCUUUUUCAUUUGGACCAUUAUAAUCCACAGAUUUCUAACUGACCAUUGACCAUAAAAACCUCAAACUUUUUGUCGAUUGGAUCAAUUUAAACCCGGCGUUAAGUUCACUAACAAAGCGUCUAAACGCAGUUAAUUUUCGUCGUUAAACAAAACGACGUCGUCUUCUCUUCAAUUAAAAAAACACAUCUUCCUCAUUAUCUCUCAAAAUCGAUUUGGGGGUUUUCUCAAUUAAGAACCCUAAUUUCACGAUUUCGCCAGAAAGAAGAAGAGAGAAGAUGGGUAAUGAAAAGAACAAGAAGUCUCGACAAGGGAAACUCGGUGGUGCCAGUUCUGUAGUGAAAAGAAAAGGUGGAGUCGGCGACGAAGCUGAUGUACGUAAGAAGAAAAAAAGCAAAACAGAUGUACUCGACAGGGAAGAAGAAGGAGAAAUCAGCGAGGAUGACUGUGGUGUUGUCGGUGACGACGAAGCUGAUGAAGCCCCAGACAACGAAGAAGUCCCAAACAACGAAGAAGUCCCUGAUGAAGCAAACGGUCAUGGUGGUAUCGAGGAAGAAACUGGUCGCGAUUUGACUGUCUUCUUCGGCGAAGUAGCGAGGAAUGAUGAUUCUGAGAAUGAUGAAGAUAGUGGGGACGAAUGGUAUUGGGAGCAUGAAAAAGAAGUUCCGGAUCCUCUAUCAUCAGAUGAUGAAAAUGAAGAACAAUCGAUUCCCAGUUUAGCCUACAGAGAAGAUGUGGAUCCAGAGGCAAUGCUUGGGCUGGGAAACACUUUCUCCACUGCUGAAGAAUUCAAGCAUACCCUUCUCAGGUAUACAUUAAAAACCCGACGCAACAUCAAGCUUUACCGGUCCACUGCUUUGAAGUUAGGUGCGAAGUGUGAAGAUGGCUCGUGUCCCUGGAGGGUGUAUUGUUCUUAUGAGAAGAGCAAACAGAAGCUGAUGAUCAAAUGUUAUGUGAAUGAGCACAAGUGUGAGAUAACAGGACACUCAAAGUUUUUGAAGUGUUCUACUAUAGCAAUGCUGUUCGCUGAGAGGCUGAGGUUGAAUCCCAAAAUCACCAAGCAUGAAAUUGCUUCUGAGAUCCAGAGAGAGUAUAGGAUGUUUGUGAGUGUGGAAGCUUGUGGGAAUGCGAAGACAAAGGUUAUGAAAGAAAGAAAAGCAAGCCACGAAGAACACUUCAACAAGAUAUGGGAUUAUCAAGCUGAGAUUUUUCGAACCAACCCUGGCACUACAAUGGAUAUCGAAACCAUCCCUGGACCGACAGUAGAAAGUAAACAGAGGUUUUUCCGGCUAUAUGUUUGCUUUCAUGCGCAGAAGGAGACUUGGAAGACUUCUUGUAGACCGAUAAUGGGUUUAGAUGGAGCAUUUCUAAAGUGGGACAUAAAGGGUCAUCUCUUGGCUGCUGUAGGACGUGAUGGAGACAAUCGGAUUGUUCCGAUUGCAUGGGCAGUAGUAGAAGUGGAGAAUGACACGAAUUGGGACUGGUUUGUGAGACACCUCGCAAAUGACUUGGGCUUAAAGGAUGGCAAAGGCUAUGCUAUAUUAUCUGACAAACAAAAGGUAAACGUCUGAUCUUGAUUUUUUAAAGCUUUUAGUGCUUAAAGCAUUACUGUAUCUUAGUGUUUUUAACUGUCUCAUGCUUGUAAUUGGCAGGGUUUAGUGAAAGCAGUCCACACCAUUCUUCCAGAGGUUGAGCAUAGACAGUGUUGUAGACACAUUUUCGAUAAUUGGAAGAAGAGCAGCCAUGACAUGCAGCUACAAAGACUCUUCUGGCGAAUAGCAAGGAGUUAUACAAUUGGAGAUUAUAAAAUGUGGAGUGAGAGGCUGAAAGAGUACAAUCCAGGCGCCUAUGCUACUCUUCAAGUCACCAAACCAGAAACUUGGUCCAGAGCAUAUUUCAAAUUAGGGACCUUGUGCAACGAUAAUCUCAAUAACCUAAGUGAGUCCUUCAACAGAACCAUCCGUGAAGCAAGAAGGAAGCCAUUAUUGGAGAUGUUAGAGGAUAUAAGGAGACAGUGUAUGGUUCGAAACUUCAGAAGGGCUGUAAUGGCUAAAAAUGCUAAGACAAAGUUCACAAAAAGGACGCAUCUUCAGAUGGCUAAAGUGGAGUCAAAGUCUAAGGAUUGUAUGAGCUUUCCAGCAGUUGGUCCAGUCACAGAGGUUGAUUAUGGUGGUGUGGCUUAUGCUGUGGAUAUGGAUGAGCUAAGUUGUGGGUGUAUCCAGUGGCAAAUGACUGGAAUUCCUUGCAUUCAUGCCGCCUAUGUGAUCCUUAAAGAUGGUAAAAAACUUUCUGACUUUGUAUCUCCUUGUUAUACCAUAGCUAUGUGGCGUCAAACCUAUAGUAUGGGGGUAAGGCCUGUUCAAGGGAAGAAGCUAUGGCCUGAGACGGGUAGAUUAGGUGUCCUCCCACCACCUUGGAGAAAAGGAAACCCGGGAAGACCAAAGAACCAUGAUAGGUUCAAGAGCAAGGGUGAGACAGAGAAGGGCCCGAAAGUCUCUACAACUGAUAGCACGAAGCUAACUCGUGCUGAUCGAGUUAUUACAUGUUCUAAUUGCAAGCAAGAGCAUCAUAACAAGAAGACAUGUAAGAAUGAGUUUGUUGAAAGUCAGCCCAAGAAACCACGAGGGCGCCCUAGGAAAAAUCAGGCAAGUUUCAAGAUGUUUUUGGUUUGUUUCUGAUCUUCUUAUGCUCACUUGAUUUUUUUUUUCAUUGUCAGUCUAAUGCAUCAUCGUCACAACCAAGCCAGGGACAGUCUCAUGCUUCAUCAUCACAACCAACCCAGCCACAAGUGUCAACACAGCCACGAGGGGAAUCAACACAGCCACAAGAGUCAGGGAGAUGGGAACAAGCCACACAUGCACCACCAAACUCAGAUGCGUCGGUAUGGGGUCGAUGGUUUUCGUGAUUUCGAAGUUGGAAGGGGCAGAAGCAGAAGAUAGUAUUUUCGGAUUUAGUGUUUUGAAGUUUUAGUGUUUUGACACUCAUGUUUCAGUUUUAGUGCUUUAACACUCAGGUUUCAGGUUUCUGUCUUGUGUAUCAGUAUUUUCGGAUCUAUUUUGUAGUGCUUUGACACUUAUGCUAUGUUUCAUCAAGCUUUAUUUAAGAUUGGUUUGUAUCUCAACCAACAACAACAACUUAGUUCAUUACUUCAAACAACAACAUAGUCAAUGAAACCAACAUAAUAGUCACUGAAUUAAGCCCCAAACAUAGUCAAGACCAAACAUCAAGCAAAUAACUAACUUAAUUCUACAUCAAACUAACUAGUAGGACAAUGAUGAUCACGCACAUGAUCACAAACAAGAUCGUCAUCAUCACCUUACACCUCUUCACCUCUGUUUUGGCUCUUACAACCUCUUCCAUCAACUCAGUGACCACGCCUUUCAAAUCCUCAAUAUCAGAUUUUUCUUUGUUAAGCUCAGCUUCAAGCAGUACAAUCUUUGGUAAGGCAUCUUGAACCUCUUCAUAAACAGCCUCCUCAACCCAUUUAAACAAGUGGUUCUAUGCAAAAACCAUAAGAUUUUAGGCAUAUUGCUUUAUAUUCAAUUUGAAUAAACGACAACAAUAUAAUCAAGAAGAUAAGAAGCUACCUUUCUUCUCGUAAGACAUCUGAAGAAAGGUCUCCCCGGAUUCUUGUUAGUCUCAGACGUGUAGAUUGUUGUCUUAGUCCCGCAAACACAGCUCGCCGGAAACCCCCGAAUACCGUAUGUGUUCACGGUUGAACUCUCAGCUGUCGAAUCCGAACUCAUCUUCGUGCUAAGGGAAGUCAAUCGUGUGAGAUUGGAGGAUUUUGAGUUGUAAUCGCAAUUUUUAGGGUUGGUGUGUCAAGAAAAUCCCCAAAUCGAUUUGGGGGAAAAUGAUAUUAGGGUUUCGGAUCUUAUUUUGAAGUUUAAGAUAAAAUGUUGUCGUAUUGGCUAACUGUGCAAAUUAACAGGGUUAACAUGUUCCGUUAGUCUAAUUAACGUCGGGUCUAAUUUGAUCCAGUCAAAGAAAAGUUAGCUGGGUUUUUUAAAGUCAAAGAAAAAUUUAUUGUUUUUCAGGUCUUUCCGAAAGCUGGGGAUUAUAAUGGUCCAAAUGAAAAAGCCAAGGAUUUGUUUAACAUUUUUCCCAUUGUAAAAUGGGUUUUGUAAACAAAAAAUGGGUAACACCAUUCACAAUAUGAUAAAAAAAAGUAACUAAAGGUUAUUUCUUUUAUUAUUUUGGGUAACAUUUUUUAUGAUUCAUGUAGUUAAUUCUGUUAAUUAAUGCAUUCAUGUGCUUCGAUUAGGCCUGGGACUUUUAUCCGAGAUCCGGAUUCGAUCCGAGAUUCGAUCCGGAUCCGAUCCGAAAAUCCGGAUAUCCGGAGGGGCCGAAUCCGGAUCCGGAUAGUAAAAUGUUGGAUCCGUCAAAGCCGGAUCCGGAUCCGGAUAUCCGCCGGAUAUUACACUUUUUAGGAGGAUAUCCGACACCCGGAUAUCCGAGAACCCCGGAUCCGGAUAAGGAUAGUAAAAUUAUGGAUCCGCCGGAUAAGGAUCCGGAUCCGGAUACCUUAAAAUUGCCCGGAUAUCCGAUCCGUCCCAGACCUAGCUUCGAUGAAUAUAAUUUUCAUAAGAAAUGGUCCUUCAUUCUUUCAUUCAAAACAAAUUUGAGGCAAAUCUAGUAGUCUAUUCCAUAUAUUUAACGAUCAAGCUCUCAUGACUGAAUUCAUUUAAAGUUCAUGAAAAUAACCAUGACCUUUUAUCUGUACAUUGAUAUAACAAAUAAUAGCGACAAAAAGGAUUAGAGAUUUCCGUGCAAGUGAGCAUGAUGGACAAAGAUAUAAUCAGUGCAAGAGGUUCAAACCAUGUACCCAUAAACUGAUUGUAUCAUUCAUCAAAAAUCUGAGACAGUCUCUGUAUACUCUUCUGAAUUUAAAUAUACAUGCAGUGCAUUGAGAAUCUAAUGACCACGAUUUUGUUGCUUUUCAUGCUCGUAACUAACAGACUAUUAUUUGAGCAUGUUACUUACUGAGAAAGCAUUGCCCAGCACCGGUUUCAUAGUCAAACUCUGCAAACAUAUAAACCUGAGCAUCAAAUUGAGAAUGUCUCUGCCACCGCCACCAUCAGCUCUACUCCAGAGAGGUUAGUUUGUGUUAAAAAGCCUAAGCAAUUCUUCCAUCACAGUAAAAGCAAUGUCGUUCAUAAGAGGCUUGUCCAUGUCUGAUAUAGUAGCCAAGUUAUUAGGCUGAGAAUGCAUAGAACUCGCUGGAAGAAGAUCAAAAUCCAGUGAAGGACCAAUCAUGGACAGAUCCAACGGUGAGAUGCGCAUUGGGUGUAGCGUUGCGAGGUGGGAGGAGAUUGGUCUUCCCAUGUACUUUGAUGCAACCGUUGACAUUCUUUCAAGCUGUGAAAUAAAGAUCAGAUUUAGAAAUUAGGAAGGGGGUUGAAUGAUUAAACCAUAAUGGAUAAACAAAACCUCGUCUCUAAGAUGUACAUUUUCGAUCCGGAGCUUACGCUCAUCGAAGUAAGGAUCUUCACUAACGGGAGGACAUCCACAGUUAGGGUAUAUAGCAUGCUUGAGUGCUUCUCUUAUGGCUAUGUUCUCACAUCGAAUCUUGUCGUUCUCUGCCUAUAGUGCAUUGUUAUCUGCUCUCUCAUGUUGCGCCUACAGAAACAGUAUCAACAAAUCUUAUUCAGACAACAUUUUAAACACACAAAAGAGGGAGAGAUUAAGACACAUAACCUUAAGCUGAGUUCUGCUGUUGUGGAACAGAACUUGAUUUGUCUUGGAGAGCCAAACCCAAUUCUCUGCUAAGUUGGUUCCUCUGCUUAUCAUCUGGAUGAUAACACUCCUUUAAACUCCUGCAAGAGAUUCAAACCAUUAUAAACACUAUGAUUAAGAGCUUUAAGAUCUGAGAAACCUCAAACGUUUCAAAAAGAGCAUUCAAAGAUUUUAACAAAAAUCGAAAUAUAAAAUUUGAUUAUGAGAUAAAUAAAAAUUUUGAUAAUUGGUCGCCGGAAUAGUUAAAAACAAUAUGGUUAUGAGAUUUAAGAUCUGACAAACCUAAGCAUCAAGGAGGAGCAUGUCCACCCCCAUCAACUCGCCACCACGGUUGACGCCAGAAUCUCAACAAAGAACGGGACCUCCACGGUGGAAGAACAUUGAAUAUGGUGAUGAGCAUCGAAGGAAUUAAGAUGUAUCUUAAAGGCGAUGAAUGUGGCUUCGAAACGGCUGUGAGUAAGGAAUAAACACGAAACGACUGAAAGGAAGUGUAAGCCUGAAACACGACGAUUCGUCUCUCUAGACUUUUAGAAUCUCCGUUGUUGAUACAGAUCGAGGAAGACGAUUAAAACCUAAUUUCCAAUAUCGACUCUAGCAGAAAAGACUCUAUCUAGCUAUUGGGCUGAAUACUCAAUUUUCUGAAGAGAAUAAUACUAACAGCCCAGCCCAUAAUAAAAACAAAUUAAAAUCAAAACGAAAACGAAACAAAUCUCACAAGGGAAAAGGACAUGUGUCAAGCCCUGGUUCUUCUAGUUAAUGACGUGUCUUCAUAGGAGAGACACAAACAUUUCUUUAUAUACAUAUAAGAUUAUACUUCACAUUUAUUAUUUUUAAGUAUUUUCUCUUUCAUAUUUUUAAUCUUUAAAACUUUUAUAUAUUUUAAAUAUUUCAAAUUAUAUUUAUAAAAUUUAAAUUUUACACUUAAAAAAAAUUAAACUAAGAUUUAUAAUAUUUUAAAAGUAGAAUUAGACAACAAGAAUAUUUCAAAAGAAAUUUAAUAGAAUUUUUUUUAUGAAGAUACAUGACCAUGAUUAUUACACAAAUUUAAAUAUUACAACAAUACUAAUAGUCUAGUAAAUUUUCUCCGGAACUUCUAAAAUAUUGUCCAAACAAAUUUUGUGUAACCGAAAAUAGAGCAUUAAAAAAAUAAUUUUAUGUAAUAAUAUGGUAUUUUUCUUGUAUUUUAAUAUUUAAUUAUGUAUUUCUAUUUAUAAUUUUAUAUUUUUUGUUGUAAGAUUUUAUUAAUUAAAAUUACUAUAAUAUUAUUAUAUAUAUGCUGGCUAACUAUAAAAGUUUUAUGGAUUUAUAUUAAUUAUGACAAAUAUAAGGAGUAUAGUAUAAUUUACAAAUAAUUUUAAAGUUAAAUUUGAAGUUUUGCUUUUGGAGAAGAACACCUUCAAACUUCAAAUAUAGAGUUUGCAAAACUAUAUAAUAAAGAAUCUUUUUGGAGAUACACUUAGAACACGAAGCAUGAGAUGUCGGUGACAACGCAAUGCUCAUUUCAUUUGGUUUUUCUGUCCUUGCCUCAAUUGGUUACUGUUACAGAUGUUAAUAAAUGAGUAAAUUACCAAUAGGAUACCCUAAGUUUUUCUAAACUUUCAAACCCAAAACUUACUGUAUUUGACUAAAAGCAUUUCUAAGAGCAAUUUUACUUUUAAAGUUUGGUGAACUUUAAAUUUGAGGUUUAAUGGUGACUUUCACCCAUGAUAAAACUUUAAAUAUUUUUUUUAAAGAAAUUAUUUGCAAUUAUAGUCCUUAAGAUUGUUUGAAGUUAAUAAGAAUUACAAAACUAUAAAUAAUAAAACAUAUAUGAAAAAGUAUUACAAGCAAUAUUUGUCUCACAUCGACAAGCUCGACGCAACAGUAUGACGCAACAAUAUAAUACUAGCUGAUAUCUUUAUGGACGCUUUCUCCGGAUAAAACUAAAUACUCAAGUAUCCAGACGAUCAUGAGAAAACGUUCUUUAUGAUGUCAGAAGGCAAUUUAUUACUGCAAGGUUAUGAAUUUUCGCUUAAAGAAUGCCGGCUCCACUUAUUAUAAACUGAUAAACAUGAUCGUUUGCAUAACAUACCAGACAGAGCAUAGAAGUUUACAUGCACGAUAUGCUCGUCAACUUUCUGGAAGUAGAAGAUCAUAUAGGCCACCUACAUCAAGCAUUCUCAACCCUGAGAAAAAAAAAACAGUAUGAAGCUCAAUUCCUCCAAGUGAUCUUCCAAUCUCUCUUACUCUGUCAUAAACUCGUCACUUCCUUGGCUUGUCCAUAAUCAGAUCACUAAUCUUCUGGCUCUCUGGAUUUAAGGUUUUACCCAUGAUACAGAUCUUGUUCCUUUUGCUCUGCAUUAGGGCAUUGUCUGGUAGGUUAAAAGGAAUUCCCUUCGCCUGCAAUGACAUUGCGUCAAUCACCUUAUCAGUAUUUAUACUUGUUCUGAAGAAAUUCCAAAAAACAUUUUCUUCAAAAAGGUAUAGAACGGCUACAUCAAAAUCAUAGAAAAACCAAUAGAAAUAGUAUAUAAUAUAUUUUUCCAAAUAUAGCGGUUCCAUGUUUUUGACACUCAGAAAAUAGAAAACAAAUUCUCAACCGUAAACACUGUUUUUCAUAAAGAUAAUAUAUUUGUUAAGAAAAAAAUGAAAACCUAAGCUAAAAAAGCCAAAUUACACACUUUUGAAUAGUUUAUUAUUGCGUGCAUUUGAAAUAAACUAAAUUAUAUAUAAAUAAGAGCAUCUCUACAAAUUUAAAAAAAUGUAGGACAAGAUGGUUUGACCGGUGGAAGCGUCUUAUUCCAGUAAUUUGACUAAUGAUUCAUUAACGUUUUUCCACCGGUAUAUCCAAAUUUCAAUUCCCAAAAAAAUAAUUUGUUAAACAACUAAAGAAAAAAAAGUUAAAAAGAGAUCUUCAAAAUUUUGCAAGUAAACUCGACCAUGUGUGAAUUUUUAUAGAAUGACUCAGGUGAAACAAUUAGACAUAGAUUUUCAUCAAACAUAUAACAUUGUCGGUUGUACAAUGAAUGCAGCUUUUGCGGUUGGUAGCGGUUGUUGGCGUUUUGCAACAAUCACUCAAACCGCUUCAAACCGUUUUAAACCUCAUAAUUCAAUAGCUGGUUCCCGCUAGCGUUUGCGGUUGCGGGAGAAUAUUUUUUUCUUUUUAAAAUAAUAUAAAUACAAAAAUAAAAAUAUUCAAUAAAAAAUUUAAAUUGGAAUUAUAAAAAGAAUAAAAUAUAUCUAUACAUUUCAAUUAAUAUUAUAAAAAAAUAAAUAAUUUAUUUUAUAAUUUUAAGACGUUUAAAACUAUAACUUUCUAAAUAUAAUUUUUAUAUUUAUUAUAAUAUUAUGAUUAUAUUUUUAUAAUUAUAAAAAAUAUAAAUAUUGUUAAUUUAUUAUUUAACCGCUGCUGCAUUUGGUAGUUAACCAGACAUAACUAUCCUGCAAACGUGCCAAUUUUUAACCACAAAACCAAUCAUACAAAUCUCUUAAAACCGCUAGAAACCGCAACCACCCGCAUUCGCAAAUUUCCACGACCGCAACCGCUGUGUUUGAACCAGUCAGACCCUAGACGUGAUGGAGUAAGCUAUAACAGUUUUUUUGUUGUUGAGAAUUUACCAAAUAAAUGGAUAUUUUAGUGAGUCAGGUUAUUCAUAUUGGUGAGAAUUAAUAUUAAUGUUUGUGUUUAGUAUGAAAAGGGUGAAAAGUAAUUAUUUUUAUAUAUUAAAGAUCUAAAAUUAUUAUAAAAUAUACUAUAACUAUUUUAUUAUUAUAUAUUUAGUAAAACCAUAUACUGUAUAGAUUUAAAUGAUAAAUAUUAUAUACGACCAUAAUAUAUUUAGUAAUAGAACAAUGAAGAAGGUAAAUACAGUAUGCAGUGUAUCUAACAAUACAAGAAAAACUCCAUAAAUUAAUAAUGUUAAUAUUAUGAUAUUUUAUUAAUUUAUAGAGUUAUUAAUAUAUAUAUUUAUUGAUUUAUAAAACUUUCCUUUCUAGAUUUUACUGUUUAUAUAUUAAUUAAAUUUUAGAAAAUCGAUUUUUUUCUAUUGUCUAAAUUUUUAUAGAUAUAUUUUUACUAAAUAUUAUCAAAAGUAUAUUGAAGGUUAAGAAAAAAUAGAGAUGAAUUCUAUUGUUAAUAUAAAUUAAACAAUAUUAUCUUUUGUUUGUAUUUAUAUGAAAUAUAUAUAUAUAUAUAUAUAUAAAAUAUUAAUUUAUGAUUUUAUAGGACCAUAUAUUUACAUAAGAUUUUUUUAAAAAAUAUUAUCUUAUUAUUUUAUUGAUUUGUAUCAUAUUUUGAAUCAUCUCAAUUCGGGAUUGAAAAAAUUAUUAAUUUACUGCGUUUAUUAAUUUAUAGAGUUUCUACUGUAUUAGUUUUUUUGUACCAAUUUCACUUUUUCAUUAAACAGUUUAACAACCAUUUUUAAUUUCAAACGGCUGAUCUAGUACUUAAAAUUAAGGUGGUUUAGGUAACUAUACAAAAUAUAAGAACCAAUAAAAUACAAAUAUCUGUGAUAUUUUCUUGCUAUCUUAGCUAAUGAGUCUGCUUAUUUGUUUUAAGAAAAAGGAUGAUAAACAAUAAACAAGUCUACAAAAAUCUACUCUUCAAUCUUGAAAAUUUUUUUAUCUCCAUUGAAAAGUUUGGCCCUGCUUAUAAAUCUUGUAUCAUCGAAACGAGGUCCUUGCAAUUUGUACUAAAGUGUUGGCACAACAACAUUUGUAACAUGCAUUCGAUAGCCCAAGAAAUGGCCAUAAGCUCUAAAUGUAUCGGUAACACACUUCUCGUCUGAUUUUUAGCUCCUCAAAGUUGAUUUUUUCAUGUCGAAUUUGUCUAAGCCCAUACAAAACCAAUAAAGAGUUAUUCAUGAGUCCAUGAUUUAUAGACCAUACAAAUUUCAUGUAAGCUUAUGCUGAUGACUCGGAUAGAUGAUGGACUAUGUAGUUCCUCAGGUUCCUUCACCUUUUUGAUAUUAGCCUCAAAGCAAGCUUGGUCUAUUAGGGAUAAAUGUUACAUAAGAUUUAGUUAUCUUAGCUAAUGAGUCUGAUUAUUUGUUUUUAGAAAAAGGAUGAUAAACAAUAAACAAGUCUACAAAAAUCUACUCUUCAAUCUUGAAAGUUUUUUUAUCUCCAUUGGAAAGUUUGGCCCUGCUUAUAAAUCUUGUAUCAUCGAGACGAGGUCCUUGCAAUUUGUACUAAAGUAUUGGCACAACAACAUUUGUAACAUGCAUUCGAUAGCCCAAGAAAUGGCCAUAAGCUCUAAAUGUAUCGGUAACACACUUCUCGUCUGAUUUUUAGCUCCUCAAAGUUGAAUUUUUCAUGUCGAAUUUGUCUAAGCCCAUCCAAAACCAAUAAAGAGUUAUUCAUGAGUCCAUGAUUUAUAAACCAUACAAAUUUCAUGUAAGCUUAUGCUUAUGGCUCGGAUAGAUGAUAGACUAUGUCGUUCCUCAGGUUCCUUCACCUUUUUGAUAUUAGCCUCAAAGCAAGCUUGGUCUUCCAUUUCGGCAUGCCUAAUAGUGUCUACGGAAUGCCUGUUAAUUCCUUUGAACAAUUUAUCAUUUUGCGCUUUUCAGAUAUACAAAAUAUCUAUAAGUAAGUGUUUCUAUCCAUUUCUGGAUAUAUACACAUGAAAUAGGGAAUACCAUUGGGUAAGAAGGUAUUGCUGCUAAUACCCAAGUUUAAAAAGUGGGUAGACAAUAAAAUAGCAUGGUUUAUGAAUUCAUCUUUUACUCUGGAUCUAAAACAUUGAUUAUCAUAUUUCAUAUGGCCGUGUUAAAUUCAUGGUUGCAUACAGUUUAACUACCGUGUUCAGUUACCAAUCGGACCCACUAUAUAGUAUUGUUUCCCUUCUUCGUUUAUCGACGUUAGCGUUAACAGUGUACUCAUUGCUCACAACUAAGUAGCUCAUAACUUGUAGUAAUAGUUACUAAAUGUGAUCUUAUUAAUUAACUGAAUCAAACUAAGCGAAUAAUUAGGAGUUCCACUAACAUUAAAGAUUUGGUCAUGUGUCUGAUUUGUCGUCUCCCAAUUAUGUAUGCAAAUUUUGUGGGAAACCUCGUUAUCAGGAGACGAGGGGAAGAGUUCCGAUCCCAUUCAAAAGAAUGUGGUAUUUGCCUUUGACGGAAAGAUUGAAGAGGUUGUAUCAGUGUGAGCGCACAGCAAAAGCAAUGAGAUGGCAUGCAGAGCAUUCCACAAAUGGUGAGAUUAGACAUCCUUCAGAUGCAAAGGCUUGGAAACAUUUCCAGUCAACAUAUCCAGAAUUUGCGGAAGAGAGAAGAAAUGUUUAUCUUGGAUUAUCUACUGAUGGUUUCAGCCCAUUUGGAAAGCAUGGAAGGCAGUAUUCUCUAUGGCCAGUUAUUGUGACACCGUACAACUUACGGCCGAGCUUGUGCAUGCGACGAGAGUUUUUGUUUCUCUCAAUUCUAGUCCCCGGGCCAGAUCAUCCUAAAAGAUCACUAGAUGUAUUUCUUCAACCACCAAUAUAUGAGUUGCAACAACUAUGGGCGCAUGGUUUUGAGACAUACCAUGUUUCGCGCAAAGAAAACUUUCAGAUGCGGGCAGUACUUAUGUGGACAAUAAGUGACUUUCCAGCAUAUGGUAUGUUAUCUGGAUGGACAACACAUGGGAAGCUAUCAUGUCCAUAUUGUCAAGAUGACACAGAUGCUUUCCAACUAAAGAACGGAAGGAAAACGUGUUGGUUUGACUGUCACAGACGAUUUCUACCACCUGAUCAUCCAUACCGCAGGAGUAAGACUUCGUUUACGAAGAACAAGCAGGUGUUUGAUGGUCCACCUGAGGAAGUUAGUGGGAAAGAUUUGUUGAAGCAGUUUAGGUAUUUUGAUGCAGAAAGGACGCCAGAUGUAGGUGGACAUGAAAACAUUCGAGUCAAUGCGGUUGGAGAGCUACAUAACGGGCAAAAAAAGAGUAUUUUCUGGGAUCUGCCAUAUUGGGAGAGUCAUCUAUUGCGGCAUAAUUUAGAUGUCAUGCAUAUUGAGAAGAACUUCUUCGAUAAUCUGAUGAACACAGUCCUUAACAUCCAAGGUAAAACGAAGAAUAAUUUGAAGUCAAGGUUGGAUUUAGUCGAUAUUUGUGAUCGUUCUGAACUUCACGUUGAUGAGAACGGUACGGCUCCUUUUCCCAUUUAUCGGCUGGAUGGUGCUAGAAAAGAAGAGUUCUUUGAUUGGAUUACAGAGAAAGUGAAAUUUCCUGACGGAUAUGCAUCAAAUUUGGGGAACUGCGUUGAUAGAAGCGAAGGAAAGUUUACUGGCUUGAAGAGUCAUGAUUGUCAUGUAAUUAUGCAGCGCCUCCUUCCGUUUGCNNNNNNNNNNNNNNNNNNNNNNNNNNNNNNNNNNNNNNNNNNNNNNNNNNNNNNNNNNNNNNNNNNNNNNNNNNNNNNNNNNNNNNNNNNNNNNNNNNNNNNNNNNNNNNNNNNNNNNNNNNNNNNNNNNNNNNNNNNNNNNNNNNNNNNNNNNNNNNNNNNNNNNNNNNNNNNNNNNNNNNNNNNNNNNNNNNNNNNNNNNNNNNNNNNNNNNNNNNNNNNNNNNNNNNNNNNNNNNNNNNNNNNNNNNNNNNNNNNNNNNNNNNNNNNNNNNNNNNNNNNNNNNNNNNNNNNNNNNNNNNNNNNNNNNNNNNNNNNNNNNNNNNNNNNNNNNNNNNNNNNNNNNNNNNNNNNNNNNNNNNNNNNNNNNNNNNNNNNNNNNNNNNNNNNNNNNNNNNNNNNNNNNNNNNNNNNNNNNNNNNNNNNNNNNNNNNNNNNNNNNNNNNNNNNNNNNNNNNNNNNNNNNNNNNNNNNNNNNNNNNNNNNNNNNNNNNNNNNNNNNNNNNNNNNNNNNNNNNNNNNNNNNNNNNNNNNNNNNNNNNNNNNNNNNNNNNNNNNNNNNNNNNNNNNNNNNNNNNNNNNNNNNNNNNNNNNNNNNNNNNNNNNNNNNNNNNNNNNNNNNNNNNNNNNNNNNNNNNNNNNNNNNNNNNNNNNNNNNNNNNNNNNNNNNNNNNNNNNNNNNNNNNNNNNNNNNNNNNNNNNNNNNNNNNNNNNNNNNNNNNNNNNNNNNNNNNNNNNNNNNNNNNNNNNNNNNNNNNNNNNNNNNNNNNNNNNNNNNNNNNNNNNNNNNNNNNNNNNNNNNNNNNNNNNNNNNNNNNNNNNNNNNNNNNNNNNNNNNNNNNNNNNNNNNNNNNNNNNNNNNNNNNNNNNNNNNNNNNNNNNNNNNNNNNNNNNNNNNNNNNNNNNNNNNNNNNNNNNNNNNNNNNNNNNNNNNNNNNNNNNNNNNNNNNNNNNNNNNNNNNNNNNNNNNNNNNNNNNNNNNNNNNNNNNNNNNNNNNNNNNNNNNNNNNNNNNNNNNNNNNNNNNNNNNNNNNNNNNNNNNNNNNNNNNNNNNNNNNNNNNNNNNNNNNNNNNNNNNNNNNNNNNNNNNNNNNNNNNNNNNNNNNNNNNNNNNNNNNNNNNNNNNNNNNNNNNNNNNNNNNNNNNNNNNNNNNNNNNNNNNNNNNNNNNNNNNNNNNNNNNNNNNNNNNNNNNNNNNNNNNNNNNNNNNNNNNNNNNNNNNNNNNNNNNNNNNNNNNNNNNNNNNNNNNNNNNNNNNNNNNNNNNNNNNNNNNNNNNNNNNNNNNNNNNNNNNNNNNNNNNNNNNNNNNNNNNNNNNNNNNNNNNNNNNNNNNNNNNNNNNNNNNNNNNNNNNNNNNNNNNNNNNNNNNNNNNNNNNNNNNNNNNNNNNNNNNNNNNNNNNNNNNNNNNNNNNNNNNNNNNNNNNNNNNNNNNNNNNNNNNNNNNNNNNNNNNNNNNNNNNNNNNNNNNNNNNNNNNNNNNNNNNNNNNNNNNNNNNNNNNNNNNNNNNNNNNNNNNNNNNNNNNNNNNNNNNNNNNNNNNNNNNNNNNNNNNNNNNNNNNNNNNNNNNNNNNNNNNNNNNNNNNNNNNNNNNNNNNNNNNNNNNNNNNNNNNNNNNNNNNNNNNNNNNNNNNNNNNNNNNNNNNNNNNNNNNNNNNNNNNNNNNNNNNNNNNNNNNNNNNNNNNNNNNNNNNNNNNNNNNNNNNNNNNNNNNNNNNNNNNNNNNNNNNNNNNNNNNNNNNNNNNNNNNNNNNNNNNNNNNNNNNNNNNNNNNNNNNNNNNNNNNNNNNNNNNNNNNNNNNNNNNNNNNNNNNNNNNNNNNNNNNNNNNNNNNNNNNNNNNNNNNNNNNNNNNNNNNNNNNNNNNNNNNNNNNNNNNNNNUUGAAUAAAUCUCAUAGGAGUUGGCAUGAAGAAGUUAUCCCACUUUCAAAUCAGGUGAUCCCAGUUUCCCAGUUUGGGAAUAACACAGCUUCUUCUCUACAAUUUUGAUACAAAGGUUGUUUUCCUGCAUCCAACAUGUCAAAAAAUCUCCUAGACUCGGGGUUUGGUUCUUCCCCUCUAUAAUGAUCAUGUACCAUCUGCUCAGUACCUACACCAUAAUCUAUAUCCGUUCUAGAUUCUUCUAACCUAAUAUCAGGCUGAGGUUCACUAACAGGCUGAGGUUCGCUAGUACUACCAUAUUCAUAACCAGUUUCCCCAUGAAGGUACCAAACUUUAUAAUUACGUGAAAACCCUUUCAUAUACAAAUGAGUCCAAACAUCAAAUUCUUUUAUAACCUUAUUAUUAUUGCAAGAAGAGCAGGGACAUCUUAACAUACCACUUUUUGCAUCCGGUUGCUGUUGAACAAGCCUCAUGAAUUCUCCAAUCCCUUGAACGUAUUCUUCCGUAAGCAAAUUGGUGUUCGGAUCCAAAUGAGGUUUAUCCAUCCACGAACGAUAAUAAACUUCUGAAGACAUGAUUUUCACGGAAUUGUUAUGACUAAAGAGAAUGAAGAGAGAAUGAAGUGUGAAUGAGAUGAAUGAAGAGGGGUUAUAUUUAUAGGAAAUUGCUUACGGACCUCCGAUGACUUUCCGACGGAUGUAAGCAGUCCGUCGGAAUUCCGUCGGAAUUGUCCAAUCUCAUAGUUCGUCGGAAUUCCGUCGGUAUUUUCCGAUGGAAUUCCGACGACUUUGCUCUUAAUCGGAAUGUCGUCGGAAAUUCGUCGGAAUAUACCGACGAACUUCCGACGACUACAACGGUUACAUUUUUUAUCGGAAUGUCGUCGAAAAGUCGUCGGAAAAUUCCGACGAACCAAAUUUGGUCGGAAUUCCGUCGGAAAUGGCCGACGGAAUUCCGACGACUUAAUUUUUUUGGAUUUGGUCGGAAAUUUGUCAGUAUUCCGUCACAAAUUUCCGACGACCUUGGUGUCCGUCGGAACCUCCGUCGGAAUUCGGUGUGUUUUCUUGUAGUGCAAGGAACCAAAAGCAUCGCCUCAAGUGGAGGCCAGCAGUAAAUCAGUAACCAUAUAUACACAUUCAUACAUUUUAAUGCAAGAUAAGAUAAUAGCACUUCUGCCACGUGGCCUUAACAUAGUGGUCAGUAUCGAUAAGGGUCUUAACACCUUUCUUUAAUCAUGUGGCAGUUAACGACGUUAUCAUGAAAUCUGGACCCUCUGGUUAUUAGGGCCUUUUCCUCUUGCGGUUCUCGUUAUAUAUAAUAGAUAACCAAAGCUAUAGACAAACAAGUAAGUUAAGAGAAAAGAAGAAGAAGAAGAAGUAGUAAUGGCUUCCUCUAUGCUUUCCUCCGCUGCUGUGGUUACCUCACCGGCUCAAGCCACCAUGGUCGCUCCAUUCACCGGCUUGAAGUCAUCCGCUGCAUUCCCAGUCACCCGCAAAGCAAACAACGACAUUACUUCCAUUGCAAGCAACGGAGGAAGAGUUAGCUGCAUGAAGGUAAAUAUCACUAGAAUAAUUGCAGGCAUGUCCUUUAUUACACGCAACUGGUGCAUUCGAACAUGAAUCCCAUUGAAAAAUGUAUAUAACGUACCUUGGAUCAAUAAAUGUCCAAAACAAUAUAUACAAACUUGACUUAGUAUUCACCAACUGGAAAUGUGAUUUAAUUUGUAGGUGUGGCCACCAGUUGGAAAGAAGAAGUUUGAGACCCUCUCUUACCUUCCUGACCUUACCGAAGUUGAAUUGGGUAAGGAAGUUGACUACCUUCUCCGCAACAAGUGGAUUCCUUGUGUUGAAUUCGAGUUGGAGGUAAUAAAGAAAAAAUAAUUUUUGGAUCUAAACAUCCUUUAUUAGACCAUGUGAAUUCUUAUUAUGAAUGGUACUCUCAUGUUUGUGUAGCAUGGAUUUGUGUACCGUGAGCACGGAAGCACACCCGGAUACUACGAUGGCCGUUACUGGACAAUGUGGAAGCUUCCCUUGUUCGGAUGCACUGACUCUGCUCAAGUGUUGAAGGAAGUCCAAGAAUGCAAAACGGAGUACCCUAACGCUUUCAUCAGGAUCAUCGGAUUCGACAACAACCGUCAAGUCCAGUGCAUCAGUUUCAUCGCCUACAAGCCACCAAGCUUCACCGGUGCUUAAUUUGCUAUGACAUUCACAUAAUAAUCUCUGCUCAUUUCAUUUCGAAUUGUCUGUUUCUUUUCCCUUUGGUUUUCUGUUUCUCAGACAUUCUAUAUCGGAUUGUCAAAUGUGUGAUUGUGAACAUGUAAUCUCUAUAUUGCUUCUUCGUCUUGGUUACUUUCCGAUGGCUAUUAGGUUUUCAACUCUUAUUGGGAUAGGAAAACAGUCAAAAUAACUUAACAAAACAGGUUAGAUAAUGUUAGUGGUAUAUUUUGUAGAAUAGGAAAACAGCAGUACCUAGGAAUAUAAUUUCAGAUGAAGUUAGUUAGGUCAUCAAAGAUUCAAAUAACAAUCAUUUUAUCUUUUUAUCGUCACAUUCACAAUAGUAUCAUAUACGGGUUUAUGUAUAUUUAAUAUAGAUUACAAUUCAUUCAUAAAAUAGUCAUCAUUUGAUAUUUAACACUUAUUACGUGGACUUUAUGAGAUCUUUUGUACACACUACUGGUACAUUGAAAAUAAGAUACAUGUAUUAUAUAUAUAUAUAAACUACUUCCUAGAUAUCUUUGUUCUUAUUUUUGUUAAUUCUUUUGAAGGAAAAAGAUAAUAAAUUUUCUACUUUUCUAUAAUACCCACACACAUUGUUAACCACUGGGGGAAAGGAUGGUCCACUUGAAAUCUUUGAUGGACACAUUUGUGGACGGUGUGCAUACAUAAGAUAGGGCAUGUGGAUAAGAAUUUAUCAUAAUAUUUAACAAAUACUAAGUGAAAAUCUGCGCCUUGCGGAAGAUGAACAUUAUAAUAUAUAUAUUAUGUAUUAUAUGUUCUUUUACCUUUUAAGAAAUAAUAAAGAAUAAAUAAAAAUUCAUUAACUAUUAUGUAUAUAAUUAAACUGGUAUAAUAAAUUAUAUUAACCAAAACAAUCACUUUCUAUUUUAUAUGAUAUAUAAUUCAAUUUUUAAAUGAUAAUAACAUUUUUUUUUGUCAUCUGUUGGAUUAAUAUUGAAACUUGAACAAAGGUUACAUUAAGCCGGCAAGACAAAGAUUCUUCCGGAGCCAGUAGCCAGCAUAGUAAACAAUACUAUCUGGAGCCAAAGAUUAAAAUAUAGAAAACAACACAUAAACUAGAAGACACAGACCAUAAAGGCAGAUGACUACAAACAUCUAGACGAGACUCAAACCCAUUCAUACAAGAAACAAACCGGACUGUUAGCUAAUAGAUAACCGUUGCUGUAGACUGCGCCUCCUCCUCCUCCUCUACGCCUGUACUCCACUGACCUCCUCCAAUUCCAACUUAAACUCGCCACUGGACUUUGAAAGGGCUCAGCACGCGCCUUCUACGCGCCUCCACACCACAGCAAGGCCACCCAAGCCUUACUUAACACGAUUCUUCUCCAUACAGCCGGUAACCACUAGCCAACCACCACAGGCCAUAGAUCUGACAAGAUCGAUGUCUGUUGCGUCCAGAUCUGAAUCUCUUCACUUCAAUCCGAAGACAUGAAGCUUCUAUUCAGAUUUGAGACCAUCGAAAACUAAAAAGAGAAUAAAACUAGAAGAAACAUGCAACCACCUUCUCACGGAACCAACGGCGAGAGGCCGCGGCCGGAGAAGGUGAAAAGACGACGACUCUGCUUUUUUUUUUCACUCGCUCUGCCCUUUUUUUCACCAGUAUCAAUGUCCAAAAAAAAUGAUAAUAACAUAUAUAUAUAUAUAUAUAUAAUUUAUUUUUAAUAUUGAUAUCUAUUAAAUGAUGUUUUUACUCAUAAGGUUUUUUGAUCAUUUGUAUAUUUUUAUAACCAAAAACUUUAAAUCGUUGAUAACAAAAUUUUCACUCUGAAAUUAAUAAUUUUAUUAAUUUAUAUAUUUUUUAAAAAAAUCAAUGAAAUAUUUUAAGUUUAAAUAUUAAUUUGUCAAUAGUUGUUCAAAUAUUUAUCAAGAAAAAAAAAUUCAAAACAAAUUUCAAAAUUAAAAUAUUUAUGUAUUCUAUAUGUUAUAUAGUUUAAUUUAAAAGAUAUUAAUAUAUAUAUUUUUUAAUCUUAAUAUUUAUUAAAUCAGAUUUUUUAAUUAAAUUAUUUUGUAAGCAUUUGUAUCUUAUCAUAGGAAAAAUCUUAAACAAUGGAUCACAAUAAUUUGAAUGUGAGAGUUUUGACAGUUUUAAUAAUUGAUGGUCGUUUUAAAAAAAAUAUAUAACAUAUACAGAAAAAUCUAAAUUUUUAUUAUAUGGUUAAUGUGGUCGUUUAAUUUAUUUUAAUAAUUUGAAAUUAAACAAAUAUGAUAGAUGAUACAAUGAUUUUUAUUAAAUCUGUAUUAUUAAUUUUCAUAUAUACUUUAGCCACAUUAGAAAAUUUUGUAAUUUUUAUUUAAGGAAAGAAUGAUGAAUAUUAAUGAUGAAUUAUGAUUAAUUUAAUAAAAAACUUAUUAUAUAUUUAGAUGAACCAAUCUGUUUUUUUAGGAUUCUGAAACUUAUUAUGGUGAUGAUAUGUGUAUACCUCAAAUGUUGUAAUGUUUUUCUUUUAAUAUAUAAGAGAUACACACAUAUAUAUAUAUUUCUUAAUUCUUAAUUGUAGUUAAGUAAAACAUUGCUGCGUUGCAAAUGUGAACUAGAACAUCUACAUAAACAAGACCUUUUAACAACUGAAUAUUUACUGUAAAAUAGAAGUUUGUUUGAAGGAAAAAAGAAAUAUAAUUUAAAAAUAAGAAAAAAUUUCUGGGAAGAACUUGUGAUGCAGGUUUAGGUUUUCUAUACAAGGAGCAUGAGCCUUAUAAAGAAUAAUGGACUUUGGAGAAUAAGAAAACCGAUAGAGAUUUGUGUGCUUGUGUGAUCGAUCGUUUGGUGUCAUUGCUGCCCGCUAGGUGCUAACAAACUUUGAGAGAAUUCUAGAAUUGAAUUCUAGGCUCUUGGGGAUUUUUAGAUUACGAUUAGGUUAUCCUAAUGAGUUCUUGCAAUAGAAAACAACGGCAUUUUAGGAGGAUUGCACUUUCCUUACUUAACACGAUUCUUCUCCAUACAGCCGGUAACCACUAGCCAACCACCACAGGCCAUAGAUCUGACAAGAUCGAUGUCUGUUGCGUCCAGAUCUGAAUCUCUUCACUUCAAUCCGAAGACAUGAAGCUUCUAUUCAGAUUUGAGACCAUCGAAAACUAAAAAGAGAAUAAAACUAGAAGAAACAUGCAACCACCUUCUCACGGAACCAACGGCGAGAGGCACUUUACUCUAGCCUCAUUCACACUUUCAAUUGGUAUCAAAACGAUUUUCCGAUAGGCCUGAGAUUUUGGGUAAUCGGGUCGGUUCCGAGUAGUUUGGUUAUUUGAAAACUGUAUCCAAAUAGUGUUUGGUCGACGUAUGGUUCAGUUUCGAAUCGGUCAAAUUUUUUGAUGAAACUAACCAUAUAUAACCCAAAAAUGGGUAAAUUUUGGUUCGGUUAAAUAUUACCCUAUUUAACUAAAAACUGAAACUAGACUUGUUACCCAAACGACAUCUGAUUAACCAAAAAAAAAAAACUCUAGAAAAUGAAAUGUUAAAUGAAACCAGACUCAUUAAUCAAAGUGUCAAAGCAAAACAAGCCAGGAAAUAAAAUAUAAUUUUCCAACACAGAAAAUGAAACAAACAUAGCUCCAUGAAACAAAGUUUUCAAAUCACACCAGAAACAAAAAAUACUUAAGUCUUAAACAAGAAGAACACAAACUGUCAAAUUACUUGAAAUAUUGUCUUUUUAGCACCAAAUGAGUCCCAGAGUUCACUCCUUACUCUAUGUUGUAUUCAGUUUCAAACUCUAGGAAAAAACAAAGAAUACCAUAAGUGUUCAAAACUUCAAUAAUCAAGAUUAUAUUUGGAAGUUCUGAUCAUGACACAUUGCAACCAAACUCUAGAAUCAGCGUAAGUCUAGUUGAAGAUUAGAAAAUUUUAACUCGUUGUCGAUUUUACCGAGUUUGGAAAUGAUGCUGUUGUACACUUCAAGUCAGAUGCUGAGGUUGGAGAGUUUGACGAAGAUUCGGAUUCAUGUCCGUCUGAUUAUUCUUCGGAUUUUGGGUAGAUUAACGUAUUUAGAAAAUCUGUAAUCAUAUAUUUAACUUUCAAUUGUGUAGUUUUUUUAUUUAUUGGUUGUUGGAGUUGAAUAAAAUAGUUGUAUUUUUUUGGUUGUUGGACUUAAGAAAUUUACAAUGUAUUCGAAAAUUAUUUAAUAUUCAAAAAUUUCUUUAUUUUGUUGGUAUUCUGUCGGUAUAUUCCAACAGAAUUCCAAUGAAAACACUUAUAUUGGGGUUUCGGUUUGGGGUUUCAUUUCCAUCGGAAUUAUACCAACGGAAUUGACCAAUGUCGUCGGAAUUCUGUCGGAAUAUUCCGAUGGAAUUCCAGCGAAUAAAUGUUUUCGAUAUGAUUCAGUUAAUAUUAAUGUAAAACCGGAUACCUAUGAGGUCAAAAACACAUAUUAAGUGUCUAAUAGGAUGUGAGUUAAAAAGCAUUCCAUUUUUACAAGUUAUAAAAUCCUCUACAAAUAUAUCCGCGGAUAUGUAAUAUCUCCCAUAAGCAUUUAUAUACUUAAAAAACAUAUUUCGAGAAUCCAACUUACAAUAUCAAUUAUUUGUAAUAUGAUCUCGUAUAAACAAUUAUAUACUUAAACAUGCAGAUAACUCCUUCUAAGUUAUCAAAAAGUUAUAAGAGUUUAUUGUGGGUCAAAUUUCAAUUGUUUUGAAACCCCCUCUCAUUUUCAUUGUAAAUUCAUUGGAAUAUACUGGCAAAAUUCCGAUGGAUCUAUUUUUCAACCAAUUGAAAAGCAUGCAGAGAAUAUGCUAUAUUCGUCAGAAUUUUAAAAGUAUUUUUCUGAAAAACUUCUGACGAAUAUAGCAUAUUCUUGUUUCCGACUUGGUCAGUUGACCAAUUAACAAAAAGUUCGACGAAAAAUAUAGGGUCAUUGUAAUUUCGUCGGAAUUUUAAUGUACCUGGGAAAAGGAACAGCCAAAAUUUUCGUGAACUGCCAAAUACCAAAAUAUUUUGAUGGAAUUCUGACGACCCUUUUCCGUCAUAAAUGUUUUAUAUAAAAAAACAUAUUUGCCUUCUUCUUCUUCUUCCUCAUUCCCCUCUCUCUCUCUCUCUCUAAUCCAGCGAGUGUAAACAUAUAUAACUAUUAAAUGAAUUUAGAAAACAAACUGUUUAAUAUAGCCAAAAAUGAACGUGAGUUUUUAGUUGAAAACCAAAAAAACAUACUAACUCAAAUCUUAACACAUGGUUUUUUUUAUGUUGAAUUACCACUUAAUUUGUCAAUUUUACCAAAGGAAUACCUCAAAAUUGUAACUCAAAUGUAAUACAUUAUACAUCAAAUAGUAACUCAAAAAUCUAAAAACUAAUCUUAGAUUUAACCCAAACUUAAUCUUAUAAAACAUUGCUUUUGAUGUAAGGAUAAUUUUUUGGAUUAAUAAAAUUUACAUUCAUUAAAAAAAACAUAAAAAUACAGCACUAUCUGACCAGAGAUAAAUAUAAUUGGUAAUCUUGUAUCAUUGCAAUAAAGGCAUCCAAAAUUUCAUUUGGUUGAGAAGUUCGGCUCGGUUCAAAAAAAAGCAGGUUUAUAAAAAAAAAUUGGUUUUUGGCUCGUUCAGUUCGGUAAUCGGUUAGAUCGGUUUCAAAAAAAAAAAUUUGUUCCCAAAUUUCAAUCCGAACUAACCUAGCUAACCAAAAUUUCGAAUCGAAGUAACCAAGCAACCUAAAAUUACUCAAAAUUUUGAACCGAACUAAUAGAAUUAACCAAAAUAUUGGACCAAAUUAACCAGACUAACAGAAUUAACCGAAUUAACCAAUUUUACCCAAAUUUUUAACCGAAAUAUAAUCAGAAUCAAAAACUUUAGUUAGUUUCGGUAAAAUUUUAAAAACCUAACUACCCAAAUACCAAACUGAACUGA
RNAcentral lists this long non-coding RNA (41848 nucleotides) under Brassica napus (rape). Its description in RNAcentral is "long non-coding RNA (BNAP_LNC009404)". The record is from RNAcentral. Lineage: Eukaryota; Viridiplantae; Streptophyta; Magnoliopsida; Brassicales; Brassicaceae.